RNAcentral lists this ribosomal RNA (468 nucleotides) under uncultured bacterium. RNAcentral describes it as "partial 16S ribosomal RNA". It matches the Rfam family "Bacterial small subunit ribosomal RNA", at positions 28 to 507 of the family's 1533-position model. The record is from RNAcentral.
GACGAACGCUGGCGGCGUGCUUAACACAUGCAAGUCGAACGGAAAGGCCCUGCUUUUGUGGGGUGCUCGAGUGGCGAUCGGGUGCGUAACACGUGAGUAACCUGCCCUUGACUUUGGGAUAACUUCAGGAAACUGGGGCUAAUACCGGAUAGGAGCUCCUGCUGCAUGGUGGGGGUUGGAAAGUUUCGGCGGUUGGGGAUGGACUCGCGGCUUAUCAGCUUGUUGGUGGGGUAGUGGCUUACCAAGGCUUUGACGGGUAGCCGGCCUGAGAGGGUGACCGGCCACAUUGGGACUGAGAUACGGCCCAGACUCCUACGGGAGGCAGCAGUGGGGAAUAUGGCACAAUGGGCGGAAGCCUGAUGCAGCAACGCCGCGUGCGGGAUGACGGCCUUCGGGUUGUAAACCGCUUUCGCCUGUGACGAAGCGUGAGUGACGGUAAUGGGUAAAGAAGCACCGGCUAACUACGUG